RNAcentral lists this long non-coding RNA (18292 nucleotides) under Coffea arabica (coffee). RNAcentral's name for it is "long non-coding RNA (CARA_LNC006531)". Lineage: Eukaryota; Viridiplantae; Streptophyta; Magnoliopsida; Gentianales; Rubiaceae. The record is from RNAcentral.
AGUGCAGGGGAACUUGAUUAAAAUGGUACACAAGAUCAAUUUAACAUAAAAUAAGUAAGAAUAGCAGUUAUGGUCCUGCCACAAACCCAACUUAUGCCAAAUUGAAUAGAGCAUUAGGACUACAGCAUGGAGCUAGAGCCUUUGGUACAAGUACAAACACACAAUACCAAAAUUUGACAUGAGCAAAGGACAUAAAGAACACAAGGGAACUCACAUUUGCUUGGUAUACUGUCAUUUUGGAAUGCAAGCAAUUUCACAUUUUUUGUAAAACAAUACUAACCGAAUUUAGCAGAUAACAGAAUGAUUAGGGAUCUUGACCGAAUAUCUAGUAAAAAAAAUCCUGCACAGUGUCAAGUAGAUCUUAACAUACAUAUAUUGAUCUUGAAGAAAUGCCUUUUUGCAUAUUGAAACAUAAUAUUGGACACCAUCUCAGCAACAUCUACUAAACUAACUAGCAACAGAUAACAAGAAACACCAAAUAGCCAAUUAGCUUUGGCUUUCUCCUUGAAACUUUCCAAGAACCAUUUUUUUCCCAUACUGAAACCACCCUUCAAUUCUGAUUAAACACAUAAGAUAGCAUCCAUCCCAAAUGCUGUAAAAGUUGGGUCUUUUUCCAAGCUUUUAAAUCCAACCCAAAAUGCAGGUUACCAAUUAGAUCAAAACCCAAAAAGGGUUCUCAUUAUAUCACCAUUACAACAGAUCUACCAACCAAACAAUCAAUCAAAAACUUCAACUUCUCCCCAAAAGUUCAGAACAAGUAAAAACGAAGAUGAAACAAUGAUAAACAAGCACCGACCCAGAACAAUGCAGGCCUGAUCGGUGAAGUCCACAAAGGAAUUGGACCCGUUCAGGAAGAGGAAAACUGCUAUCCGCAAUAGCAAUUGCAACAGCAGCAGCAGCAGAAGGCAGGUGUCUUUGCUGCCACCCGUUCUAGUAUGGUAGCAGUGAAGAGUUAGGGACCAUUAGGUGGAUAAUUUAUUACUUAAUUUACUAGUAUUAGUAUCAGUAAUAGUUAUUUUUUUGAAUAUUUGGAGAAAUUUUUGGGGAAAGGAUGGAUCUUGACCUUAGAUUUUGAUAUCGGCACCUGGAAUGGCACCAUCAGCCACCGGAUUUGCACGUUAGAAUCUUGAGAUUGACAGCCUGGCAAGGUGAUGGAGAUACAACUCAUACUUGUCUCUGUCCAUGUCUUGUUUGUUCCUUGUUGAGAGUCCUGUUCCCGCCGGUUUUCUUUUGAAUUUCAAGUUUUUUUUGCUACAUUUAAUUCUAGGGACAAUAUAAGAAACCUCCCUGAGGCUUUUGACAAUUGCACUAGCAUUCACUGAAUUUUGCAAAAUUACACAAACCUCGUUGAGGUUAAGGUUUUGAUAACGAAAUUAGUCCAAUUAAAAAAGUAACAUUAAAAAUACUUUAAGGAAAGAGAUGAAACUUUUAUUUCAUAAAUACUCCUUAUGCAUAUAUAAGUUGUAUUAGUAAAAGAAUAAAAAUUAGAAAUAAAUAAGAAAAAUGACUAGUUUCAUCCCUCACAUUUUAUAAAAAUAUUCUUUUCGUCCCUCGCUUUUAAAAUGAAGUGAAUUUCGUUAUUUGACAUUUAAAAACUAAACUAUUACAUCCCUGUACGCAACUUUCAAUCUAAGUCCAAUCACCCAACAACCCGAUUACAAAUUUCAAGGUUAUAAUUGGUAGAUCAUUUGGUUAACUCAACUUAAUAUUCAUAUGAAAAUUAAUGAACUCAAAAAAGGAAAAUAAAUAAUUAUAACAUAAAAAAGAAGAAUUAUUCUUUCCUAUAUUGUCAUUGUAUAUAUUGAUAGGUCUAAAUACCUACCACAUCAUUUCAAUUGAAAUUUAAAUAACAAACUUGUAUGUAUGGUAUAUAUCUAGAUUCACAAGUAUAUACACUAACGGUACAUGAAAAAAUUUACCUAAAAAACAAACUCUACUAUUCCAAGACAAAAGAGCGACCUUUUCUAUUAUAAUUUUUUAUUUUUCAUUUUUUGGUUCAAUAAAUGUCAUGUAAAUGUAAUGGAGUUGACCAAGUGAUCCAUCAAUACUAUCCAUGAAAUUCGUUACUGGGUUAUUGAAUGGUUUGAUUCAUAUUAGAAAGUUGGGUUCAUGAAUGCAAUAGAUUCAAUUUUUAAAUGUUAGGGAUGAAUUUGCUUUGUUUUAAAAGUAAUGGAUAAAACAAUAUUUUCCAAAAUGUGAGGGACGAAACCAGUUAUUUUUUCAAAUAAUUAAUACACACAUUUCACCAUUCAAAAAGAUCAUAUUCAAUAAAUUAGAUAACACAAAUAAACAAGAAAACUACACUAAUGAUCACAAGAUUUAGCAAAACAAACUAGUCAUCUCUUUUAACGUGAUGUUUGCUAUAAUUCUUGUGUUUUUUAAUAGAAAAAAUUUUCUAAUUUUGCCUUUCUUUCGCCUUUACUUCCACAAAAUUACUUUCCAACUGUCACAACUUUAAGAGUUUCAAAGAAAAUAUUCUCAUGAACAACCUUCUUUUGUCCUAUUUUUUUUUCUUCUAUCAAAGUCCUUCUUCUCACAUUAUGUACAGCUGAUUUUUGGUCAUUGUCAAAUUCUAUCAAUCACAAAAUAGGGUCAUUAGGUAUAUCAAUUGGUGUUAUUUUGUAAUUACAAGUCAUCGUUCAUUAUUAAAUAAUUUCAACAGUUAUUUUCAUUAAUUAGUUACUAAUAGUUAAUUAGUGUUCUAAUUACUUAAUCGUUAGAUACUAGUUUCUAAUAAGACAUUAUGUCUUAAGGUAAAUGAAUAAUUUCUCCCCAUGUGAGGUAAGUAACUAGAGGUGGCAAUUUUCGACACGACCUAAAAACACGACACGAACCUAACACGAAAUUAAUGGGUUUGGGUUGAGGUUUCGGGAAUUCGGGUCAGAAUCGGGUUGGACCCGAUGAACCCGAAAAGAAAACAGGUCGAUUUCGGGUCAACCCGUGGUGACCUGAUAUGACCCGUUUACGAAUUAAAAAAAUUUAAUAAACAUAAAAAUAAUUUUAUCUAACUAAACUAAGUUAUUCUUUUUUUCAAAGGCAUUAAUUACUUAAUCCUAAAUGAAUUUAUUUAAUUUGUGUGAAGUUGAAAUUAUUAUAUUUGGACAAAUAAUAUAUUAUAUUAUUUUUUACUUUUAUAUUGUUUUAAUUUAUUUUAUAUUUUGUUUGGAAUAAAACACUUUUACGGUGUUUAAUUUAUUUUAGAUUUGGUUUGGAAUUAUUUAUUUAAAUUUUUAUUACUUGAUUAUGUAAUUAGUUUUGUGAGAAAUUGAUUUUAUUAGAAAUUACAGUGAUAAAUUAAUAAAUUAAAAUUAAGUUUCGGGUCAUUUCGGGUCGACCCGCCAACCCGUCAACCUGAAAUUUUCGGGUUCGGGUCAGCACACCUGACCUGUCACGGGUUGGCGGGUCGGGUUCGGGUCAACAGAUUUUCUGGCGGGUUCACCCGAACCCGACCCGCCAACCUGAUUUGGAUCCGAAUUGCCACCCUAUAAGUAACUAGGCCCACAAUUCUAAUCAAGAGAGAUGAGUGUAAUUUUAAAAACCUCAGAGGACACCAAUAAAAUUGUCAGAAACCUCGAUGGAGGUUUCUGAAAGUAUCCCAAAAAGAAAAGGAAAGAGAAAGAAAAGAAAAAUGUCCUUGGAACAACUUGAGGAAAUGAUCAUUUUAGUCUUUCAAAUUUUUUUAUUAGUGCCUUUUUGUUUUGGAAAGAUUUCAAAUGGCAAUAGAGUCGUAAGAGAAUCAAGUAGGACACGAAAUUAAAGUUUAAGGAUUAAAUUGACAAAAUAAAAAUCGAGAAACUAAAUUGACUUUAGUAAAACAGGUGAAAGACUAAGGAGCCAUUUGAUUGAUUGCUAUUUUUUAGAGUUUUGUAAAAAAAUGUACUGUAUCGAUUUGAUAUAUGAGGUAAAAUGGUGAUUUUUUGUAUUGGAAGUUAUUUGAAACAAGUUUUUUUGUAUUAUUUGCCGUAACAUUUUUUGUCUUAUUAUGUAUGAGAUGUAAACCUGAUUUUGAAGAUAACAAGUGGUUUGAAAAUAUGUUUAAGGAAUAAUACAAAAAAUUAUAAAUAAUGAGUAAUCCAAUCAUAAUUCUCUUUUUCAUCCUACUAAGAGUUUAGCACUCAAUCUCCACUUAGUUCAGAUUACAUUCCUUCUCCAAAAAAAUGUGCUUUAUGAUAUGAUAUAUAUAAGACAAAAAAAAUUCUGAAAAGAUAGAGAUAUGAAUGGUGCCUUGUUAGUGAACAAUCCAAAAUAUGUAACAAAUAACAAGCAAGCAUAUAUACAGAUGUGUUAAUAAUUUGGGUUAUUACGUUUACCACCCUUGAGGUUUGGUCAAACUACUAAAUAAACCUCAAAAUUUAGCCAAAUAACAACCAAACCCUUUGAAUGAAAAGAUGUAUCAAAAUACCCUGAUGUCUUUCACCAUUAAAAAUGGUGUUAAUCAGAGUUCAAAAAUGCCCAUGUACAUCGAAUCUAUUCUAAAGCAACAAGAUAUAGCUUAUCAAAUGUCCUAAUUUGCUCAACAAAUUUUUUGACUGAAAAUCUUAGAAAUGGGUUUAGAGGUUUGGGGUCUUUAGGCUCCUAACCUCGCUUAGUUGUAGGCUUGUUUAUGCUCUAUGCAUGAUUAUUUUGUUAUAACUAUUGUGGGUUUUGCGCUUGAUUUCAUUGGGGAAAGAAAAGGAGUGCUACUGGUUUGCCUUCUUUUGAUUGGUCUAUAGCCACUGUGGGCCAAAUGCAAAUUUCACUUAAAAAGUCAGGCAGUAGGGAGUUACUGCUGGUAUCACAGUUGCUCUAAAAUAUUAGCCAAGAAGAUCAAGAUAAAUUAGAAAAAAGAAAUUAAAAAGGGAUUAAUGAGGGUUUGUCAAAACUAUGACAUUUUGGACAUAGGGGUUUUGGUCUUAUCAAUAAUUCCGUUUACAAGAUUUAACAGAAAUUACUCCCAAGGGGCUAUCUGUUAUUUGGUCAAACUUCAAGGUUUGAUCAGUAGUUUGGUUAAACCUCAAGGGAGGUAAAUGUAAUUAAUUCUAAUAAUUUUGUUGUUGCUUUCUUUCUUCAAAUUGAGGCUUUUGGUAAAAGAGAAGAGCUUCGGAUAAGGAUUGGGUUCAUCUGCUAGUUAGUUUUUGUUAUUUUCUAAAUAUGUAGUCAUAUGUGUUAGAAGAUAUUGAAAAUAUUGGAUUUUUGGCUAAGUCUUUUCUAAGUGUAGUCAUAAGCUCUAAUUUGGGAGGUAAUUCCUGGGACUUUCGGCUAAUGCAGUCCGGGAUGGGAAUCUAAGAGUACUUGUAAAGCUCCAAGAUGUCUAUUUUCUUGUAUGGUGAGUGAUUCAAAUGAUCUUUCCAACAAAAACAAUGAAAAAAAAAAAGAAGUUGAGAGAAAUACUUCAACAAGUGCAAAAAGUGGUUUUUUUUCCCGAGAUGUAGAUUUUGAAAACCACUCGCAACAAAUUUUUUUCAGACUUUAAGAAAUCACAUAACGUUUGAAGGUUAUUUCGUAGUUUUGUAGCACCUUUUGAUGAUGAUUUCACUUAUUACAUUGAAAAAUGUGUGAAAAUGGUGCAAUAGAAUGAUUAAUUAACAAAGACAGUGCAAUUUUGUAUAUUAAAGAACAUUUAUAUCGCUUCUCCACUAAAUGUAUGGUUUUUUUUGUACGUCUAAUUAUACAUCCUGUCAAAAAGUUUGUAUAAAUACCCUUGAAUUUGAUAACAAGUAGUAUAUAAUUGCAUAUUUCUUUUACAUUUUUUUCCCUUGGACAAAGCCACAUGUUAUAUUUGAGAGUCUCGCAAGCGGCCGUUCCCGCUUUGGUGAUGAGUAAAAAGAGUUUUUUUUUGUCGCAACGAUAACAUUUCUAUAAUCUACUCUAUUCUAUUUUAGGGGAUAAGGGAACUUAACCGACAUGAAACACCAUUGGAGGAAAUCAUUGAGAGUGGCAAAUCAUAAAUAGUGGCUGGUGGGAGUAAAAAGAGUGCUGAAGAGGGCAAAAUUGCAUCGUUCAUUAAUUGACAAUGUUAGCAGUUAGCACUGCCUUUUUCACUAAUCUUGGCUCUUGGGUAGAAAGGCCUAUGAGUCUGACCUUAAUAUACCUUACCAAGUCUUACACCCAAAUUUCCUUUACUCAUUUGGCGAAGUGCUUGCUUCACCAUGUUGAUGCAAAUUCGUGCCAGGAGUAGAAAAUCUGUACCUUUGACCAUCUGUGUCAAAGUAGCUUAUGGGCAGCUGAAACACUAUAACUACAUCCAAGUAGCUUAUGGGAUGCUGAAACACUAUUUUCACCGUAACUUUGCAUGGAAAACUUGGAAUUGAAUGUCAUUUGUUGCGUUGAAACUAGAUUUGAAGGGCUUUAAACUCAUGUAAGUGUCUCAUGCUAAUUCCUUACCCAAAAAUUGGCGAACCUUUAAAAUUGACCCUUGUAUUUCACUAGAUUAAGAAGAUAAUAUAAGUUAUCACUUAGGGGUAUUGUUUGGAGUUUUUAUUGUGGUAAAUUAGUGAUGAUGAAGAGUCUUUAGAGCUAAAUUGAUUAUUUUUGUUAUAUCUAAGUAAGUAAGUAGUUAGGCUACAAUUUUGAGUCCAAAAUACAUUUUUUUGUCACAAAUUUCUGUUAUCAUAAUCUUCUUCAAUUAUUUGUUUAUUGUAUACUAAUAUUUAGUCAAAGAAAAAUAUAUUUGAAACUUUUCGUUAUGUCCGCAAUAUUUAAUUAUGCUAUUGUAUAUAACAAAUGAUGCAAUCAUUAAUAAAUGUUAUAUUUAACUAAAUACAUAGUGUUUAAUUAUCUUAUCAAUAAAUACUUAAAUGAUCUUAUACAGAUAAGUCAACUUUUCCACCUAUCUUGUCCAUUAAUUACGUUUGGAUUUUAAAAUAAGAAAGAACAAGAUUUUUAGUUUGAUCACAUGCAUUACAAUAUGUUACAUGUAGUUCCAAAAUUUUUAUUUUGGACUACCCCUAAUAUUUUAGAUAGCACAAUUUUAGCCUUAAUUGAUUAUACUAUUAUAUUAAUUGUACAUGAGUUACAUUAUUUAUUGCUCUAUAUGUGAAUUGCAAAUUUAAAAAUUAUUAGUAUGAGCAUUUUUUUACAUUUUUAUAGGAUCUAUCGAUCCAAUCCUGCAACCAAAACGAUCCUAAGUAGAAUCCCGAUUUUGAAAGCCUUGCGUCCAACCCCUUUCAAUCAUCUUCACUUGCAUGUGCUAUAUCAGAUAUCCACAACCAUCAGCACUCUCAAACAGUCUCUUUGGAAUUUGCAAGUGAGUUUUCAAGAUACCAAAAAUUGUUGACUCGGUGUUUCAAAAAUAAAAAUUUGUUGACUCGGGACUUUGCUUUACAAAAAUGUCCCUUUUGAGUUCUAUGGACAUGUACAAUGUUGCAAGCAAAUUGAGUAAAUGGUGAACCGACUUGGUCAAAGCUCGAACUCAAAUUGACUUAACAAAAUGUGAAUUAGUGUCAGGACUUGGGGCUUAAUUGUAAAUAGUAAUAAAUAAUAACAGUUUCUGUUAUUGGUAGUUAAGGUGCUGAGUCAGAUGACGUCAGCAGGUCAGUUUGUUAAGUUGGUUAGUGAUCGUGUAGGUCAUUCCUUUAUAAUGAGCUCUCUGCAAUUGCAGAGGCAUGAAGAGAAAUAACAGAAUUGAUUCUUCUCCCUCAAGCUUUCACUCUCUGUCUCUCUCUCUUUUCCUUUCUCUCCUACCCUUCUCCCUCUCUUGUUCUUCAUUCCACAGCUGCAUUGCAGCUCUAUCUCAGGAAUUCUACUUGAAUUCCGGACAAUUGGUACCAGAGCAGCGAUUCUCGGACUGAUUGCAACUAUUAACAAUGCGGAAGGCACACGAUUCAAGAAUAUGGAUGAUCAAUUGAUGAAACAGGAAGUACGACUGCAGGAAGCUCUGUAAACAAUUUUCUCUCUCCAACAGAAUCAACAAGAAGUCCAGCAGCAAUUGCGGGGAGAGAUGGAGAAUUCUAACAAGAAAUGAGAGCAUUAAUCUCAGGCAUGGACCAGAAGCUCAACGCAUUGAUCCAAAUUAUGGCCAGAGAGAAGCAAUUGGAAAAAGAUGAGGCAGUUCAACCAGAGAAAACUCCAUUUCUACCAACACCCCCAGCACACACGAAGCUCCAGUCUGAGCUUGGUGUUAAUCAGUGCUCCAGAGCCAAGCCUUCCAAGGUAUUCUUACCAAAUCCCCCAAAGAUUGAGUUACCUCUUUUCACUGGAGAGAAUCCACGCAUUUGGCUUCGUAAAUGUCAGAAAUAUUUCCUCACCUACCAAAUUCCUCCAGACCAGCAAAUGGAAGUAGUUGAGAUGUUUUUGGACAGUAAGGCGGAUGUAUGGUAUCAAGGCAUCAAAAUGGAAUUCCCAGAGUUAUCUUGGCAACUAUUCACUGAAUUGCUCGGUGAGAGAUUCGCGCGAAAAAGGAGCUCGGAUGUAGUAGAAGAUUUCAACAAACUGCAGCAAGUAGGGACAGUGGAGGACUACCAGGAAAGGUUUGAGGAAUUAAAAUCGUUGAUGUUAGUUAAAAAUCCUCACCUAUCCGAAUCAUAUUUCGUUUCAAGCUUCAUUAGUGGAUUGCGAGAUGAAAUUAAGACUAUGGUAAAAAUGUUGAAGCCAAACAAGGUGUCAGAUGCUAUGGACUUAGCCAGGUUGCAGGAGGAAGCCUGGAGGUUACAGCAGAAAUCUGCUAAGGAAUUACCAAAGUCGCCUGUUGAUCCUAAGUUUGGCUUAUACAAAGGUACUGCUGCUGUUCCAAAUGCCUAUAAAAUUUCACCGACUAAUGUAAUCAAAAGUGAGACUAGUUCAGCUACACCAAUCAGGAAAAUAUCGCCUCAAAAAAUACAAUUUAGAAGGAAUAAUGGACUGUGCUUCAAGUGUGGUGAACGUUUUGGGGCAGGGCACCAGUGCAAGAACAGACAACUGAACAUGAUGGUAGUCGAUGAGGAAGAUGAAGGAGAAUUCUUGGAUGCUGUAGGGGAGCAAGAUGAAAGGACAGGCAACCCUGGAGAAUUGAUGGAGGUAUCACUCCAUGCACUUUCUGAGGCACUGAAGAGGAAAACAAUCACUCUCAGGGAAGAAAUCAGGGGAGUUCCCAUACAUAUUCUGGUGGACAUAGGUAGUUUAGACACCUACAUUAGCCACCAUCUGGUUAAAGCUCUAGAAUUGCCAUAUGUGGUCACCACUCCUUUCACAGUAGUUUUUGGGGAUGGCUCAAUGAUAUCAGGAUGCACUAAAAGUCCUAAGGUACUUUGGUCCACUAAUAAUCACAAAUUCUGUUUUGACAUGGGGGUCAUGGAGCUAGGUGGAUAGGAUCUGAUUUUAGGGGUGGAUUGGAUGGCUCAUUAUAGCCCCAUCAUAUUUGACUUCCACAAGCUCAUUAUAGCUAUUCAUAGUGAAGCGGAAGAAAUCAUCCUGCAGGGAUGUGUGGUAGAAGCUGAGCUCAAUCUGUUGAGAAACAAGGACCUCAGGAACUUCAUUAAUUACAAACAUAGCUGUUACAGUAUAUCUCAGGGAACAAAUCCAGACGCUGAGUCACCUAUUGAAGUCAAGGAGUUGUUGGGCAAGUACAAGGAUGUGUUUACAGCACCUACAGGCUUACCACCAAAGAGAAGUCUGGAUCAUGCCAUAUCCCUCAAAUCAGAUGCUCAGGCCUUCAAAAUCAAGCCUUACAGGUACCCUCACUCACAAAAAACUGAGAUAGAAAGGCAAGUUAUGGAAAUGUUAGACAGUGGGAUCAUUAAGCAUAGUAAUAGUCCCUAUGCUUCACCUGUGUUGCUGGUCAAAAAGAAAGAUGGCACCUGGCGUUUUUGUGUUGACUAUAGGCACCUGAAUAAAUUGACUAUCAAGGACAAGUAUCCCAUCCCUAAUAUUAAGGAGCUGAUAGCUGAGUUAUGUGGAUCCAAAUAUCAUUCCAAAUUAGACUUAAGGGCAGGGUAUCACCAGGUUAGAGUUAAAAUCCAAGAUGUGCAUAAGACUGCCUUCCAAAUUCAUGAAGGGCAUUAUGAAUUCCUAGUCAUGCCUUUUGGGCUGACAAAUGCUCCAGCCACUUUCCAGGCAUUAAUGAAUUAGGUUUUUCAGACAUAUCUGCGCAAGUUUGUGUUAAUAUUUUUUGAUGACAUACUGGUCUGCAGCAAAGAUCUAGAUCAGCAUGUGAGACACUUGGAGAUGGUAUUGAAGGUACUGAGAGAGCAUCAACUGUAUGCCAAACUGUCUAAAUGCUCAUUUGCUCAGCAGAGGAUUGAAUAUCUGGGACAUAUGAUUUCAUCAGAGGGGGUAAGUAUGGAAGAAGGAAAGAUCAAAGAUGUUCUAGAUUGGCCUACCCCCAACUCAGUUAAGGCAUUAAGGGGAUUCCUAGGCCUUACGGGCUACUAUAGGCGAUUCAUCAAACAUUAUGGGAUCAUAUGUAGGCCAUUGACAGAUCUACUCAAAAAGGAUAGCUUCUGCUGAAAUGAACAAGCAGAUGCUGCCUUUAGAAAACUUAAGCAAAUCAUGUGUACUUCACCAGUUCUCAGACUACCAGAUUUUGAGAGGCCAUUUGUGAUUGAGACAGAUGCCAGUAAUGGAGGCAUAGGUGCAGUGUUGCAGCAGGACUCUCAUCCCAUAGCUUACCUCAGUAGAGCUCUAUCAACAAGGAAUUUGGAUCUAUCUGUCUAUGAGAAAGAGUUAAUGGCCUUGGUGUUAGCUGUGACCAAAUGGAGACAUUAUUUAGUGGGACACAUUUCAUAAUUAAGACUGAUCACCAGUCAUUAAAAUAUUUGUUGGAACAGAAGUUAACCACACCCUGCACAAGUGGUUGACUAAACUUUUAGGCCUGGACUAUGAGAUCAGUAUAAGAAGGUAGUGACAACACUGCUGCUGAUGCUCUAUCUAGGAAAACGUUCUGUGGCCAGGAAGACCAGCCAGAGAACUCCCUUACUAGCAAUUUCUGCAGUCAAACCCAAAUGGAUGGAGGAAUUAUACAGAAGCUAUGAAGGGGAUGAGCACUGGCAAUCUGUUAUAGCUCAAUGUCUGCUGGACUCACACACACAUAGUGAUUAUCAGAUCUUAGAUGGCAUCAUUAAGUACAAGGGAAAAUUGGUAGUAGGUUAGCAAAUGAUAUCAGGAGCUCCUUACUCAAGGCAGUACAUGAUACUGCUCUGGGAGGGCACUCAGGCCAAAUGGGACUUAUCAGAAGCUGAAAGUCGUAUUCUAUUAGGAAGGAAUGAAGCAAGAUGUGAUCAAGUUUGUCAGUGCUUGUGACAUGUGCCAGAGGUGCAAGCAUGAAAAUGUGUCUUACCUAGGUUUGUUGCAGGCUUUGACUAUCCCUGAUAAGGCAUGGUUCCACCUCACCAUGGACUUCAUUGAGAAGUUACCUAUGUCACAGGGAAUGGAUACCAUUCUGGUGGUCAUAGAUCGCUUCACAAAAUAUGCACAUUUUCUGGCACUCAGACAUCCUUUUACAGCCACACAGGUUGCACAGCUCUUCCUGGACAGUGUAUACAAGCUACAUGGAUUGCCAGUGUCUAUUGUCAGUGAUAGAGAUAAAAUUUUCACUAGCAAAUUUUGGCAGGAGUUAUUCAGAUUGAUGGGAGUAGCACUACACCUGAGCUCUUCCUAUCAUCCCCAAACAGACGGUCAAUCAGAAAGACUUACCGGGCCGCGUUUAAUAACUAUGACUCUAAUUCAGUAAGCAGUCGGAAACAAUUAGAUAAAACAGAAAACAACGGCACGCACCAAAAGCGAAGACGAAAUGUAAUGGUACAUGAGUAGGAAAAUACAAGUUUCAGGAGGCAAGCUCUCAAAUUUAUUCCUCAAAUAUCCACGGCCCGCUUCCUCAAACAUGAGUACAUAUAUCUAUAGAUAUUACUAGUUCCCUAAAACACUGGACACCGAAUUAAUCAAGGAAAAGAUAAUACAAUUGGACUCGGACACUUUAACCGACAUAAGCCCAAGGAGACUAAAUACGACUCGGACGUCACACCAAUUUUGGACGCUGAACUAAAUAAUUAAAUAAGACUUGGUUUAACUUUCUACAUUGCCACCCUUAAACCAAGGUCUUCAAAAUCUGCUAGUUUUCUUAGAAAGAAAAAUAGCAUAAGAAAGAAUAUUUGGAGAACGAAAUAGACCUUAAAAUCUGCUAUGUGCUUCGAAUGAUCCGGCCGAAUACUAAGUUAUUACACAUCAAACUAUCUGCUCUUCUCAGCUGGCAUUGAGGUUGGUAGUGUUCCAAAGACCUUAUCCCAUAAUGAGGAAGUGAUACCAAAGCCUUUAUUUUGGAUACGAAAGUGAUGAUUCAAAUGAUAUUUCUGCAAAAGAGAGAUGAUCAGAAAGAUAUGCAGAUCAAACCACUUGUGCAGUGGAGAAAUUCCUACCUUCUUCCAGGUUCAGGUGACAAAACGGCCCCAACUGAAUCAAGAAUUCAUACGGGCAACGGAAAAUUUGAUUUGUUCAUGACAGAUCAUUCUAGAUAUGGGGCUAAUGCAAGUCUAUGCAAAUUGUUUCUACUAAAAUGAUAGCAUGUAUCUACGAUCCGAGUUUGUACAUAAUUUUUAGUAUGUAGAUUGUUUUUUACACACAUGUAAAUGAGAAAUGUAAUGAGACUCAAGUUGUUCUGAUGGAUUUGUAUCUCUUUACCUUGAGUUUUUUGGCACUUCACUUGUAGGCUGCCCAUGGUGCAAGUAAUAAUGGGUUACAUCAUACAUCACAUAACCCAGUAAACCACCUCCAAACAAAGCAGGAGCAGUAGAAGGAGUAGAAAUGAGUUUUACUAAGUUGUAGAACUGCAAAACAAGAAGACAAGUAUCAGAAGAAGAAGAGAAUGUGCUGUGCAUAUACUCCUAAGAAUUAACUAAAAGGGGAAGACUUGGAAGAAAGGCCCGAGUUUAAGACUGCUUAUCAGACACGUGUAGCUGAAGGCAAGCAUAAAAUGGAUUUGCAUUUCUUUUCAAACAAUUUUCUGUUAUCUGUACUCAUUAGCACAUGAUGUACCGCAUUCUCCAGUUAUCUCGCAUAAAUUCAGUCAAAAUAUUCACUCCAUAUAGACAAAAUAUCAACUAAGGUUCCGUUUGAUAAAACUGAAUCUGAAUUCUGAAAUCUGAAUACUGAAACAAUUAAUUUAUUGAAUUUUAAGCACUGAAAAAUAUAUAUGAAUGUCUGAAUUUUAAUGCUAAACCUAUUUAUACUGUUUGAUAAAUAUUUAUAGCUGAAUGCUUAAUAAGUUUAAUUUGACAAUUUUGCUCUUAUAUCCUUUCAUUCAAAAAAGAAAUAGAAUCUAUGAUUUAAUUAGUUUAAAAUUGUUCGAUAUGAAAAUGACAAUAUUUAUUUUUAAAUCAAAUUAAUAUAAAAGAUGAAAUAUAUUAUAUGAGAAGUAUGGAGAAUAUGUGAAAGUCAUUAAAAAGGAGAAAAGAGAAACUAAAAAUCGUUAGAUAGAGAAUAUUAUGUUGUUUAAUUAGAUAAGAAUUUUGAACAUAAUUAACAAACAAUGGUAGAUUUGGUAGAUAAGAUAAGAUAGCUGAAGUAAUUCUAUUGAUUCUUAUCAGAAUUAAGCAUUCAGUUAGGAUUCUUGUGCUGAAAAAAAUACACACAGGUUCAGCACUGCUUAACAAGUUCAGCAAAUAGAUUUUCAUUUAUCAAACACUCAAAACAUCUGAAUGUCUGAAAAAAUUCAGAUUCAGCACUUUUUUAUGUUAUCAAACAGACCCUAAAGCUCAACAAACCUCCAGUGAGAGCUGAAAGAGUAAAUUGGAGCAGUUUAAGACAACCACCAUCCAAAAUGGCAGAAAAUCAGACACUGAAACCAGACUCGAACUUGUUGUUUAGACAGUUUCAGUAGGUGAAAGUUCACUAUGUACUGGUCAGUACCAGUCUAAGCAACUACAUUUUCAACAUAUUCAAUGGAAUGUCACAAGCAAAUUUUUCUCCCUCCAUGCAUCUUACUCUCGAAGACAACAAAUAUUCAUGUCCAGUGCCUCUUAGAUGUCAUUGCUAACCCAGUAGCUACUAAAUUGUAUUUCUAGAAUUAUGGAGCAGAUAACAUCUUGCCCUCUCCCUCCCUCUCCCAUGGGGCAUGAAUCUGGUGGCCACCAGCCCGAUGUCAUCCUCAACCUAAAUGCUAGCAAGGGAAGAACUUUGAUGCAAUGGCUACUCACUUAGGAAUAGUACAGAAAUCAGCUGCUAGCAGUAUGUCACAGUCAAAAACAAGUCUCACAGUUGAGAUUCCUAUGAAAAUUUCAUAUCCCUGACCUGGAAUCCUUUUCAGUCACAUGUAUCUUUUAUGCACUUUUAGUAAAUGUGUCAAAAAAAUUGCAUGAUUACAUGACCUGACUUGGUCAAUUACUGGCAGGAACAUUUGUCUGAAAGACAUGCGAGGAUCCCAGUAACUACCAAAUAGCCUUACUAUGAAUAUUGUAAAGCAUAGCACGAGUUAUUAGUAACGGGAAGGGAGUGAAGAAAGAAAAUACAGGCUUUAUACAGUAUGAAUAAAAAACGAAACGCUGCAGAAGGAAACAUACAGGUAAGCACAGCACAGCAGUUGCAGCAGGAGGGAAGACAAGGCGCAGACCAUCCAUGGGGUGCUUAUGAUGGCAACCAUGAAGAAGAUAAUGUAUGGUAUUUCCCCUACAACAAGUUUUUACAUAUUUCAUUACAUAGAGAAGAAAAAAAACACAAAUACAAAUAACACCGACAAGAAAGACGACAAACAAUUAACAUGCCUACACACAUAGCAAUGACUAACCAAUAACUUUUCGUCUUGAUGUGGAAAAGGAAACGAUGUAGAGUGUAUUCUAGCAAAGUCCAUACACCGAUUCCAGUUACCACCGUCAGAGCUAUUUGAGGAAGUGUAUGACCCAUCACAAUCGACUUUGAAACAAACCAACAUACAACUGGGAGCCAAACAAUGGGGAUUACCCACCAUUCUGUGCGGGUUAAAAACUAUUUCGAGUAAAAAUGAAAUCAACAUCAGCUCUGUGAAGCAUGACUUGAUAACAUACAUAUAAUAAUUAUUCAAGUGUCAAUAUAAAUGAAUAAUCAUAUUAUCAAAUUCACCAGAGAGUAUACCUCCCAAAAGUCACUUCCAAAAAAUCGGGGACCUUCCUUGCUAACUAUAGGCUGGUGAACCCACUCCUGAUAAGAUUCUCCAAGAUGACCUACCUGUGUAAGAUUUCAAAGAAUUUCAUAAAGCAAAUUCAAAAAGUUAAAGUAUGGUUUAAUUGACUUAAACAAAUAUAUCUCUUAUGUGGAACAGCAGCACUAGUAUCCAUCAGCUAGAAAAGGUUACAAGUCAAAAAGGAAAACAUGUUCUGCUGCAUGUUAGUAAAACAAACGAAUUGGUCUAUUAUAAGGCAAAAUGCCAUCUUGCCCAGUUCAACAAACUUUUUAUGCCUAGUUUUGUUUGUCCUUUUCACGGCUUGGGGGGUUUUAUUUGUUUUGUGGGUGGGGGGGGGGGGGGCGGCGAAGAAAAAUGCAGGACUUAGACCUGUUGAUGUUUUCAUUUCUCUACCUUAUAGUUUCCUCUUUGAACUGAGAAUAGAAAGAUAAACAUGGCUGCAUCACUAAAUCUAGAGCAUAAAAAUACAAUGCAACUGGCAGGCUAUGAUAUUGCUAACAACAGUUUAUUUAAGUACUCACUGCAUGGGAAGGACAAAAUUAAGGGAUGCCAUUAACUCAACUUUUGCUUCUAUUCACCAUAGGAAUCUGUCAUUUCUAGUGACUGCAAGACACUGAACUAAUUACAAGGACUCUAGCAUGGGUGUCACGUCUGGGUGCUCCUCUAGGUAUCAGAUUCAUAAACUUUCUAGAAUUUGGGAUACUGGGACGCCAAAGAGUCAGGUUUAUCUGGAUAUAGUAGAGAAGAUAUACAAACAAUACAUACAUAUAUUAUAUUAUAUUACAUACAUACAUAUAUAUAUUUAUAAUGUAUAAUAUUAUAUAUAUAUUAUACAUAUAUUAUAUUUUUCGGCUAAUAGUGUACUUUAUUGAAUCUCUUCUGAAUGAUAACAGUGAGAGGAGGAAAAGUUUCAGAGAAAAGGCAAGGGUGGACCACAGACAUAUGAUUAAAGGUAUUAGGCUACUCAUGGAGUGUGUUAUUUGCUUGACUAUCAAGUAGUGGAGAAGACAAUGAAAUUGGUAUAGUAUAUAAAAUCAAUAAAAGUACUUGUGAUAUAUUCAACAUCAUCGUCAUGUGAGCCAAUGACGUUACUCUCAACUUUCUGAUACAUAUUCAAUUGCUUAUCUUUUAUCUUUUGAAAUUGAAGUCUUCUCAUCUCUCUCACAUCUACUACUCCUUGCUUACCCUUUCCUUUCUUUAAUACGCUUUGAUUUCAGUGAAUCUCUGAAACAAAACCACCAUAUCCUCUCAUCUCCCUCUCCUGCAAGUUCCGAUCUUCUUCCCAUUCAUCUCACACCUGAUCGAAUUCAGAGCUACCAAGCAGCCAAGUAUCAAUUUAUUUUGACCAUGUUUGACACGGAUAUUACACCUGCACCCUUCACUUGUUACACCGACACUGGUGUUCCAGGGAUGAGUUAAGAGUCUGUAAAUAUAAUUCAUAAUUCCUAGAAGAAUAAUAGCUUGGCAUGCAAAGAUUUCAACUCUGUAUUCAGACUAAAGCAUUAAGACCAAAGAUAUUGUAAGUGAAAGAUAAAAAGAAUUAGGAGUUUUCACCUGGAAGACAAGAGGUUUGUUUAAAUCAACUGUGAAACCCUGAGCCACCAUCUUGGCACCAAACUAUAAAUGGUGUGACAUAUCAAAGGAAAUGAAAGAAUGAUUAGGCAGAUACAAAUAGGAUCAAAACCUAGUGAAAGAAUUUACACAUGAUGAAAAAUUUAGAAUAGCUUUUAGAACCAAGCUGAAGUAAUGAAACACAAACGUGAACCGAUCAUGAAUGACAAUAAUUGAAUUGUCACAACUUGAUUUAAGAAUUUCACACGAGCAACGUACUUCCAUCAGGCCUCAAAACCAUACAAAGGCAAGCAAAGCAAAGACACAACACAACUUUAUGGAGGAAACAAUUCCAUUUUAUGAUGUUCCCUACUCUUCCAAUCUGCAUCUCCAUCCUUUAUUCCAAGAACAUCCUAACGUAUUAAUCCUAGGCAAAUGACACAAGUAGCCAAUUUAGUCGGUAAUAAUAGUAGGGAAAAAUGUACCACUCGAGUGCAGGGGAACUUGAUUAAAAUGGUACACAAGAUCAAUUUAACAUAAAAUAAGUAAGGAAUAGCAGUUAUUGGUCCUGCCACAAACCAACUUAUGCCAAAUUGAAUAGAGCAUUAGGACUACAGCAUGGAGCUAGAGCCUUUGGUACAAGUACAAACACACAAUACCAAAAUUUGACAUGAGCAAAGGACAUAAAGAACACAAGGGAACUCACAUUUGCUUGGUAUACUGUCAUUUUGGAAUGCAAGCAAUUUCACAUUUUUUGUAAAACAAUACUAACCGAAUUUAGCAGAUAACAGAAUGAUUAGGGAUCUUAACCGAAUAUCUAGUAAAAAAAAUCCUGCACAGUGUCAAGUAGAUCUUAACAUACAUAUUUUGAUCUUGAAGAAAUGCCUUUUGCAUAUUGAAAACACAAAAUUGGACACCAUCUCAGCAACAUCUACUAAACUAACUAGCAACAGAUAACAAAAACACCAAAUAGCCAAUUAGCUUUGGCUUUCUCCUUGAAACUUUCCAAGAUAAUACUUCUAAUCCAACCAUUAGACUGCAAAAAAGUCACCAUUUCACGCUGAGAAAUUAAAGAAAAAGAAAAACCAAUUUUUUCCCAUACUGAAACCACCCUUCAAUUCUGAUUAAACACAUAAGAUAGCAUCCAUCCCAAAUGCCUGUAAAAAUUGGGUCUUUUUCUAAGCUUUUAAAUCCAACCCAAAAUGCAGGUUUACCAAUUAGAUCAAAACCAAAAAGGUUCUCAUUAUAUCACCAUUACAACAGAUCUACCAACCAAACAAUCAAUCAAAAACUUCAACUUCUCCAAAAAAGUUCAGAACAAGUAAAAACGAAGAUGAAACAAUGAUAAACAAGCACCGACCCAGAAGAAUGCAGGCCUGAUCGGUGAAGUCCACAAAGGAAUUGGACCCGUUCAGGAAGAGGAAAACUGCGAUCCGCAAUAGCAAUUGCAACAGCAGCAGCAGCAGAAGGCAGGUGUCUUUGCUGCCACCCGUUCUAGUAUGGUAGCAGUGAAGAGUUAGGGGACAUUAGGUGGAUAAUUUAUUGCUUAAUUUACUAGUAUUAGUAUGAGUAAUAGAGUGAUUUUUGUGAAUAUUUGGAGAAAUUUUUGGGGAAAGGAUGGAUCUUGACCUUAGAUUUUGAUAUCGGCAUCGGGGAUGGUACCAUCAGCCAGCGGAUUUGCACGUUAGAAUCUUGAGAUUG